UGACUAUAAAUAACUGGGAGACAAAUGUACGCUGGAAGCACAAGGAGGAUUAGCUUGGCAAUUAAUGUGACAAGAAAAGAAACAGAAAUGGAUAACUGCUUCCUUCUUAAUGUGUUCCAGAAUUCAUUGUUUAUGUACCACAUCCAGUGCUCCAUGCAAUGCGUGCCCUCCGCAAUACCUACCACCAGGCUUACUCAACCCCCCACUCCCCUCCUGUGUAUUAUUCAUCUGUUGAUGGAUACUUGGGCUACUUCCAUAAUUUGGGUAUUGUGAAUAAUGCUGCAAUAAAUAUAUAGGUGUGCAC
RNAcentral lists this long non-coding RNA (304 nucleotides) under Mustela putorius furo (domestic ferret). RNAcentral describes it as "lncRNA (ENSMPUG00000028920.1)". The record is from RNAcentral. Lineage: Eukaryota; Metazoa; Chordata; Mammalia; Carnivora; Mustelidae.